RNAcentral lists this transfer RNA (70 nucleotides) under Heterocephalus glaber (naked mole-rat). It matches the Rfam family "tRNA". From Rfam's summary of the family: Transfer RNA (tRNA) molecules are approximately 80 nucleotides in length. Their secondary structure includes four short double-helical elements and three loops (D, anti-codon, and T loops). Further hydrogen bonds mediate the characteristic L-shaped molecular structure. tRNAs have two regions of fundamental functional importance: the anti-codon, which is responsible for specific mRNA codon recognition, and the 3' end, to which the tRNAs corresponding amino acid is attached (by aminoacyl-tRNA synthetases). tRNAs cope with the degeneracy of the genetic code in two manners: having more than one tRNA (with a specific anti-codon) for a particular amino acid; and 'wobble' base-pairing, i.e. permitting non-standard base-pairing at the 3rd anti-codon position. Lineage: Eukaryota; Metazoa; Chordata; Mammalia; Rodentia; Bathyergidae. The record is from Rfam by way of RNAcentral.
GGGGAUGUAGCUCAGUGGUAGAGCACAUACUUAGCAUGUGUAAGAUGUGAAGCCCUGGGUUCCUUCCCCA